Molecule: ribosomal RNA, 603 nt
Filed under: uncultured bacterium
Lineage: Bacteria
Description: bacterial SSU rRNA
Rfam family: Bacterial small subunit ribosomal RNA
Source: RNAcentral
CCGGAUGAACGCUGGCGGUAUGCGUAACACAUGCAAGCGAACGAAGUUUUUCGGAACUUAGUGGCGGACGGGUGAGUAACGCGUGAGAAUCUGCCUUAAGGAUUGGGACAACAGUGGGAAACCGCUGCUAAUACCAAAUAUGCCUUUUAGUGAAACGGGUAAAACCGCCUUAAGAUGAGCUCGCGUCUGAUUAGCUAGUAGGUGUGGUAAGAGCGCACCUAGGCGACGAUCAGUAGCUGGUCUGAGAGGACGACCAGCCACACUGGGACUGAGACACGGCCCAGACUCCUACGGGAGGCAGCAGUGAGGAAUUUUCCGCAAUGGGCGAAAGCCUGACGGAGCAAUACCGCGUGAGGGAGGAAGGUUCUUGGAUUGUAAACCUCUUUUCUCAGAGAAGAAUAAUGACGGUAUCUGAGGAAUAAGCAUCGGCUAACUCCGUGCCAGCAGCCGCGGUAAUACGGAGGAGGCAAGCGUUAUCCGGAAUUAUUGGGCGUAAAGCGUCCGCAGGUGGCUAUUCAAGUCUGCCGUCAAAGACCGGGGCUUAACCCUGGAAAGGCGGUGGAAACUGAAAGGCUAGAGAGAGGUAGGGGUAGAGGGAAUUCC